GUUUCCUCACAUAAUCAGAUUUUGACUUGAAGGAAGGACUAAGAAGAGGACUUUGGUAUGUCCUGUCAAGUAAAAUAUUCAAGGUUUCAUUUGGAAGGCUGCCCAUGUAGAGAAUAGAUUCAAUCCAACUCAUUUCAACGCAGUCUUCCCUCACUAGUCCCAGCUCAGGAAAUCUCUCUUGCAUCAAUGGAACCAGCUCAUCAAUCCCACCAAGAAACGAGGCAUGAAAGGAAGCUAGAAUUGUUCUCUUCCCAUCUUCACUAGAAUUUACCCUUGUUAUUGUAAUUCCAGAGUAAAAUUCAUCUGGAAGCUCGGGUGCAACGGAUUGCCAACGAUGAACAAGCUUGGUCGCAUUUUGUUCCAAGGUCUUGUUGAUUGUGAACACAGUCACAGUUGGUGGAACCGAAACCAACUGUACUUUCCAUGCAACCACAAUUCCAAAGCUACCCCCACCACCACCUCGAAUGGCCCAAAACAGAUCUUCUCCCAUGGAUUUCCUGUCAAGAACUCUCCCGUUAACAUCAACAAGUUGUGCAUCAAUUACAUUAUCGAUUGCAAGACCGUAUUUGCGGAAUAAUAAGCCAUAACCUCCUCCGCUCAAGUACCCUCCAAUUCCAACAGUGGGGCAAAGACCAGCUGGAAAGGCAAGACUGUUGCUUCUAUUAGCAAUGUUGUAAUACAGUUCUCCUAGAACUGCACCUGAUUGAACCCAUGCAACUUUGUUUUCUACAUCAAUGUCAACUGAUCGUAGAUUAACCAUAUCAACAAUAACAAACGGGAGUUCAGAUACAUAAGAAAGACCUUCAAAAUCAUGGCCACCGCUUCGAGUUCUAAUUUGGAGACCAUGUUUUCUUGAACAAUAAAUUGUUGCUUGAAUAUGGGAAGCAUGGAGCGGUGUUACAAUGACCAAAGGUUUAGGGGUAGAUGGUGUAGUGAAUCUAAAAUUUCGAAUGGUAGCGUUCAAAACAGAAGAAUAGGAAGAAUUAUUUUGUGUGAGGAUAACUCUAGAAAUGGAAGAGGAGUCGUUGGAUUGAAGAGAGAGGCAAUCAAGAAAAGUCUCAUUAGCAUGAGCUGAAGUUGCCCAUAACAAUGAGAAGAGAGCGACGAAAAGAAAUGAUGAAGACAUUGAAAAGUGAAGAGAUUUCAUAUUUUUGAAAGUGAUGAUUUUCGAAACUGAUGGUUUUGUGCAGAGUUUGUAAAGGGCUCCCCUAUUUAUAGAUUUACAUAACCAAAGGGGGAUGCUUUGAGCCGCAAAAAUGCAUUGGAAUAGAAGUUUCUUCAAACGCGGAAUGAGUUUGGAAAAGGGAUGGCGGUCAAUAUAACAUGUUGAUCUAUAUGUCAUCAAUUCCUUAAGAAAAUCUUCAUCAUAAGCGGUGAUGGCAUUGGGGGAUUUGACGCACUCAAACUAAAAUUGCCUUGACUUUUAUAAUUUGAUGAAAUUGGUAAAUGAAAAAAAUUCUCCCAUUGGGUUUUAAGCAGCAAAAGCAUGUGAAUAGAACCGAAUUUAAUGACUCUUUUCUUAGUUUUCUCGACCGUCACAUAUAAAUAAAUAAACAAAUAUUUUUUUAAAAAUUUUUUUUAUCUCUUUCAAAGAGGAUAGUAAUUUAUUGAUCUUUGCCAUCCUGAAAAUCCAAUUUGCUAUUCCAAUAAGAUGACAAUUUGGCCUAAAUUGUCAUUGAAAAAUCUACAUUCUACGGGAUUCCAAAUGGCAUGGAAAGGGUAAAAGCUUCGUGGGAACACACCCUUAAGCAUUCUUCCACAGUAAAAUGAUAUUUUUAUUUCAUGCCACAGGUUCUUUUACUUUUUGUACAAUCUUACAAGUCUUAAUUUAGAAUUUUCAAAUUUAUGAAUGAAGGUCAUAUAAUCACUAAUUUUGAUCAAUAGUUAAGCAAUCGAUGUGGGAAAACCUACGGACUCAUUUGGUUUGGGAAUUAUUGUUAUAAGUGGGGUUAAAAUGUUUUUUACAUGUCCAUUUAUUUCAGUAGAUUUGAUAUUAGAGCUGAUUUUUGAAAAAUGUGAGCUUUAAGGAGUUUAUACAUUUAAUAUUACUAGACAAAUAUAACGACACAGAGAGUUUAAAGAUGUAUUAGAAAUUUCAAAAAAAAUUUCCGUUUAAUUUAUUUCUCUUUGUCUCAUAAAUAUUAUGAUUUUAUUUUAUUUUAAAUAUAUUAUUAAUUAAAACAUGAAAAAAAAAAUCUAAACACUUUAAAUGAAAAGGUUUUCAAACACAGUUUUGUAUAAAAAAAAAGUAAUUUAAUGUUUAAAAGAUAAAUAAUCAAAUUAAAUUGAAAAAGUUCAAGCGAGAAAGGUGACGGAAAUAAUUUUAUCUUUUCAUGGAUAAGCCAAAGGACAAAUUUCUCAUAAGACAGGAGGUGGGUUGUUCCCAUGGAAGACCCAUUGCUUGGACGAUGUGCUUGCUAUUAUUUUCAACCAUUUCUAGAUUUCUUGUUUUUAAGGUAAAAGUUUGAGCCUACAACAUAAAACCUCCGACUUUCAUGUUGAUUUCCUUUUUGUUUUACUAUAUAUUUUGGCAAAAUAAAAUUCAACAAUUACUGGCGGUCUAGAUUGGGCAUAAUUCUGGGAACAAAAAUUAACUACUAGUACGUGCUAAUAUUGAAAUAUAUUUUUUGUUCUAUAAGAAAAAAGAAAGUAAAAAAUUAGUAAAAUUAAAAAUAAAAUGAAAAUUUAUUAUUUUUUUUUAAAAAAAAAAGACUAUUUUUUUAACAUUAAUAUAUAUAUAUGUGACAGUAAAAUACUAAAACUAUGUUCACGAAUCAUUUAUAUCAUUAUUAAUAAUUUAUAUGUACCAAUGCACAAAAUCCUUCUCUUUUAAAAAUAAAUUUACUAUUGUGAACCAAAUUUGGAAUUUUCAUAUAUAAGACAAAACAUAAAUAGGUAAAUAAAUAAUAAGUAAAAAAAAGGGAAGUUAAAAAAGAUAAAAUUUGACAUAUUCAGUUGAAAACCGCGUAGUAAAUGCAGUUGGGAAUAAAUAUAACUUGUAGAGAAAGGUUUUUUUUUUUUUUUUUGCCAAUGAAAGACUUGAAGAUAGACUUUACUAAAAGUCUUAAUCAGAAAAUUCUAAAUGUGACUUUCUACUUUCCAUUUGAGGAAAUUAAAUUCAACAUAUUUGACACUAUUAAAUUCUUUCAGGCUACAUAUUUUAUCUGAUUUUAUUAAGUUCUUGACUUUAAUUCUUCUUUAAAAUGAUUGUAUUUAUAAAUUAGUUAAAACCAUAUCAUAUCAGGCAUGACUUAGUCUAUUGCAUGAAAAAGGUUUGAUUUUUACUAAAAAGACCUCUGGAUAAUUUUAAAGCAAAUUCCUGCGCAUUGCCUUCAUUGACUUUUUUUUUCCCCUCGAAGAAAAUGAAGAUGAAUAUCCAAAGACAGUGAACCUACUCAUCAUCAAACUACGGUAAAAAACUGGAAAAAUGAUCUUAGAUAUGAUGGAAAAUCUGUGUCCCUCAAAUUUCAUUUUAUCUUUUCAGAGUUGUUUUAUCCAUAGACGCGAAAACCCAAAUCAUUAAGAAAAAUCAAAACGGAAAAUACUCAGAAGUUAUUUUAUUUUUAGAGGAAAUUUUCAUUUCCGACAUAAGAAUUUUAAAAUCUUCAAAAUUUCAACAAAAACUAUUAUCGGUAAAUUUUAAAAGAAAAAAAAAGAAAAUUCUGUUGAUAAUUUAAAUUUUCGACAAAAAUUAGGCUUUUUUGAAAUAAUUUUCCAUCUCUAAAUGCUUUAUCUCUUUUAGUUUAAAUAAAUUAAUUACAUUCUUGUGUAUUAGCUUCUUUAUAAAUUAUAAACAUAGUGAGGGAUGACAACAGAUCACCAUCGAGAUGAUAACGGACCAUUAUAUGGGUAGGUAUGAAACUUUUCGUCCCCAUAUCUGAUUAUGUUACUUGACUCGUCUCCAUUUUGAUAUUUGCUAAGUAGUACUUUCAUGUAUGUCUUUGUAUAUGAUAAGUAAACCCGAACUUGCCUUGAAUGAUCGAUUAUGAAAAGUUUGAUAUGUGCUGUUCAAAAUUUGCAAGUAAAAAGAAAAUAAUGAAAUUUAUAUAUAUAAAAAAAAAAAAACUCAUGAGAAAACCCAUCUUUAUUGAAACCUAAAAAUGUAAAAGUAAAAAUAAUAAAAUAAUAAAAUACCUAAAAUUUAACUGUACUAAAAUUUUAAUAAAUUUGUUUAAAAUUCAUAUCUUAAAAAAAUUACAAACAUAAUUUUUUUUUGAAAAACUCUAACAAACGCCCAUAAACAUAAAUACAAAAAUUCAUAAAACAUCACUUAUAAUGAAAUCAAUUGCAUCAUCCCACGUAAGAGAAGCAACACAAAGGGCUUUAGACUUUUAUCUCUCGUAGAGUUUAGGGUUUAGGAAUUUCUAAGAUGAGUAUUCGAACAAUGAAAACAUAAGGAAAAGGUAAAGGAAUUUGAUGCUCAUCGAUGGCGGUGACAACUUUUAAGUUUUGAUUUAAAAUGGUAUUUUGUGAAAAAUGGAGAGUCAAAACAAAUGACAACAUCAAUGUUAGAUUGGAUGCAACACUCCUUUGUAGACAAAAGGAAUUAGAAUUGGUGAAAAAUAAUGAGAGAACAUUGAAGGCCAAAGCAUCGUGCACUUUAAGCAAGGAAGAUCAAAAAGUAGUGUCAGCUUAGUGAAAUAGCUGGGACUUCUUGCUCGGUUGAACGUAGCUUAGUGUUCUAACAUUGAGGAGGGAAGUUUCAUGAGAUGAAAAGUCAUGAUUAUCAUAUUUUUAUGUAGUGGUUGUUUUCAAUUGCCUUUCAUGACUUGUUACCUAUUUCAAUUUGCAAUGCAAUAAUUGAGCUACCUUAUUUCCUUAGAGAUAUUUGCUCAAUUGAAUUACACAUACAUCAGAUGAAGAUAAGGAGUAAGAUGAAAAUGAGAAGGAAGAUGAAGAUGAUUAACAUGAAAUUUUUGAUAAUGAAUAGUGGUUAAUUAAUUAUGUGUAUUUAACUUUAUUAUUUGUGAUUUUGCUUGAGAUAUAAUACAAUAUGUUAUAUUUUUAUUUUUAGAUAUUCAUGUAUUCAAAUAGGCUUGAUAUAUGUUACUGAAUUGUGUUGUUACUGCUUAAAUAUGUUGUUGAAUAUAUAUUUUUUAUUUUCUUAAAUCUAAUUUGAUUAUUAUUUCUGUUAUAUUUUAUAGUUAUAAUGCCUCAAGGAAAGGUUUUUAACAAAUUAAAAGUUGGAAUUGGAUCUACAUAUGCAUUGAGGGCACUAUUCCCUAAUCUUAAUCGUUUGAGACUCUGCCAGUACACCUUUCAUUCAUAAAACACCAAGUGGUCGAGCCUUCACCCAUAAACCAUCUAGCAAUAGAAAACCCUUCCUUUGAGGCUCUACCACUGGGAUUCCACCCACAUAUCACUUUACACAGAAUAUCCCAUCUGCUAAGCAGCAAUCCUCCAACCUUGUUAAUGUUGUUUAGAUCACUGCACGUGAGUUGACCUCAAGAAAACAAACAAGAGGGUUUAAUCAAUGUUUACCCAUGCCUUAAAUCCAGAGGACAAAUUGCCGAUUAUUUGUUUACAAAAUAGGUUAGGUGUUAAUAAAUUAUUUACUUUAUUUGUUUAUUCAUUCGAAUAAAAAUAUUAUUAACAUUAAGAUGACAACUAUUUUGUUAAUAACUUAUAAAUGGCACUUUUUUGGAACCCACAAUUGUCUGAACAAUAAAGUAAUUGAUUAAAGAUUACUAUAACAAAGUGUGGUCGACAUGAAGGAAAGUUCUUUUGAAUGUGAAGACGAGCAUGUGGGAGAAAUUUUAGGUAUUUUAAACUGUCUUAACAAUUUUAAUAUUUUCCUUUAAAUAUGUUAUUAACAAUUUUUUUAUUUACUUUUAGGAAAAGUGCAUAUAGUUUCUAAAUAUACGUGCUAGCUUAUGACAUAUGGCAAGCAACAUGUAAAACAUAGUUUAAAGACAUGAUGUAAUUUGAAAAAAAAGAAGGCAAUGGCAUUUUUUGACGCGAACAAAAUGGUAGACUGCAAGGGUUAUAAUCAAUCCAUGAUUAUUCUAAAGUUCUGGAUGAGCUCGUUGAAAAAGAGUGAAGUACAUAAGCAUGACAGCAUUAUUCUUAUAAAGAAGAGAAUAUCAACUAACAGAGAAAGAAGGAAGAAUCACAAAGCACAUAGGUGGUUUAACACAUUUUCAGGUUCAUGCACACAAAUUGAUGAUACCUUUUAAAUUGUUAUAUUUUACAAUGUUUAAUUCUAUGUUUUUUUUUAUUAUUUAUACUGUAACUUGUUUUUUUAAUCAAAUGCUUGCACAAAAGCUUUAGCUAUUGCCUACAUAUAAUGAACUUUUCGAUCAUACCCACGUGCGUUUAGGCGAACAUGGUGAUUUUAUGGACAAUAAGUCCAAAGCUGUUAGUGUAAGUGAAAAUUACUUUAUUUAUGAUUCAUUUUAAUAUUUUCAUCAUUACUACAAUUUUUUUUGUCAUGCUUCAUUUUAAGCAAUGUGAAUCAUACACUUGUAGGAAAACUAUGCUUUUUCUAUGAAUUAGAAAUAUGAUGUAGGCCACAUCUGUUUAUCUUGAGUUCAGUCCAUAAGCCUGGUGCCAAGUAAUUGGACGGUUGCAAACCACAGACACCCAUAUCUAUGGAUUUGGGACGAGGCCAUGUGCAAUAGAAAUAUUUGGCACACCCUCCUUCUUAUGUGGUGGCUUAUCUUACUCAACUUAUGUUCUUACAAACUUCAUUUCCAAUGUUAUUUCAUUCGCCGAAGUUGAUGAUCUAAAAGGGAAAAAUGAUAGAUAUGCAAGACCAACUCAAGGAAACGAGUCAAUUAUAAGAUGAAAUGAAGAUGGUUUUGUUUAAUUAAAUGUUCAAAGAUGGUCUGUUUGCUACAUCUGGAUAUGUUUAACGCGAUGACAGUGGAUGACAAGAUCCAAGAGGAAGUGCUCAAUGAGAUAUUGAUCUCUUUCAUUAUUUGUUUUCUAUUGCAUGCAUAAUAUGAUGAAGUAACAAAUAAUCUUUUUCGUUAUGGACAUUUGUGCUAUGUUUAAGAAUGCUUAUGGAUAGUUAUGAAUGAUUAUGGUUGUUCAUAAAUGUUUUCAAGUCUAUUAUAUAGAUAUGACGUGAAUGUUUAACUGUUGUAUUAUAUACUUGUAUUAUGAUUUAUAUAAAUAAAUUUCAUAUGAUUUGUAAUUAGUAAAUUGGAUUAAUUGUUAAAAAGAUCGAUCCUUUUAAAGAAUGAUUGAUCUUUUAUGAAUAGGGAUCGAUCCUCAAUCAUGAAGGACUUAUCUAUGAAAUUCCAUGGAUAAAUUAGGUAUAAUUAGUGAUGAAAUAGUGAGUAUUAGCGAUGGAAAUUUCAUUACCAAUAAGUUUUAGCGACAAAAAACCAAAUAGGAUCGAUCCUUAUUCAUUAAGAAUGAAUCCCAAAAAUACCUUUUAGUGAGGGAAAUUUUCAUAACCAAUAAGUAUUAACAACAAAGGAUCGAAUUUGGAAAACCUAACAAAUACUUUUUAGUGACAAAAAUUCCAUCAUCUGUUGCUAAAGAUCUCUAGUGACGGAAUUGUAAAAUCAUUGCCAAUGACUAUUUCUGUUGCUAAUAGUUUUAGUGAUGGAAUUGCAAAUGUUUUUUAGAAAUAUUUAGAAAAAAUAACUUUUAGCGACGAAAAUUUUCAUCACUAAAAAUUUUUUACGACAGAAUUAUAAAUUUUAUUUUUGUAAAAGAAAUAAAAGCAUAAUUACUUUUAGCAAUGGAAAGUUCCCAGUGACAGCAUGGGAGCGACAUGGUAGUGGUUUACUGGAAACUAGAUUUGGCAAUUUUCAACGAAGGGUUUCGAUUUUAGAGAAAGAGACUCUAAAGGGGAAGAGAAAGGGAGAGAAAGGAAAAAAAAAAAAGUAGAUUUAGCCUUUUUAUAGGAUGGCCAAAAUGAUGAUGUUUUAGGUGUCAGGCUCGCGCUCGACCUACCAAAGAUUUGCAUGUAAACUCAUGCAGGAUCCCGCUCAUUUGUAAAUUUUUUCUUUUUCUUUUUCCAUUUUCUUUUUAUUUUAUAAUUUCAUUUAUAUGUUUUUAGGAUUUCUUUUAUUUAUUUUUAUAUUUUGAAAAGUCUAAAUACAAUAAUAAGAUUAAAUGAUUAUUAUGAGUAAUAAUAAAAUAUAAAUCAAAACAACUAGUAAUUUUUACUAAAAAUAUAAAAUAUAAAAAAUGAAAAAUGAUUAAAUUGUAAAAAAAUUUAAGGAAAAUGGAAAGAGCUUUACUUUUCCUUAAUUUUUACAAGUAAAAAUAUCUCUUGAAUUUCAUCUAAGUGUUGGGAUUAUUCAAGAAAUUAUUUUUGCUAAAGAGUAAAAAUUUAAAAAUAAUAAAUAAAAUAAAUAAUUGAUUAUUUGAAUAAAUCUUUUAAGGUGUAAUUUUCUUAAUGAAAAUUGAAAAAAUUCAGUUUUCUUUAAUUAUUAUAAAUAAAAAUAUUUUUUAGAUUUCAUCAAAGAGUUGGGAUGAUCUAAAAAUUAUUUCUACAAAAUAAAGGUUUAUUUAAAUAAUAAAAAAUAAAUGAAAACAAUGAUGAAAAAUGAUAAAAUAAAAAUAAUAAAAAAUAAAUAACAAAGAAUUAAUUAAAAGCUUAAUUUGAUUAAAUCUGAAAAGUAAAAAUUUUAAGAAAAAUUAGAAGAGUCUUAUUUUUCAUAAUUAUUAUCAAGAGAAAUGGUUUUUUUAGAUUUUGUCAAAGAGUUGGAACAAUCCUAAAAUCAAUUUUGUAAAAAUUAUAAUAAUUAAAAAAUAAUAAAUAAAAGAUUUUUCAUAGUUGGAUUAUAAUUGUGUAAAUCACAUGAUUCAUUUGUAAGUAAAAAAUAUCUUAUGUUGAAAUUUCGGGAGUUUGUGAACGAUCAAUUUUUUUAAAAUUUUUUGAAUAAAGUUAUUUUCUAUAAAUUUCACUAAAGCAUUAGAGAAUUUAUAGAAUGUGAAAAUAAUAAUAAUUUCAUAAUAAAAAUAAUUUUCAUGAAUAAAUUUUUAAGGAAUUAAUUUAAAUAUCAAGAAGACCAUAUUAUCAAAAUGAAUAGACAAUACAUGUUUAAUUGGUACCAUUUUUUGAACGGUUGAUAUGAAGGUACUAAUACCUUUUUCUCUCGUAACUAUACUCUCAGACUCAACUCUGAUUUCGUAGACCUAACUAUUUUUUUAGCAAACCUUAAUUAAUUUUGAGGUUUUUAUUAAUCGAUGAUAUUUUAGUUGACCAAUCACAUCUAAUAAAAAAGAUUGGUGAUAACUCCGUAAAUUUCUAUUAAGUCUGGUGAUCAAGUUCCUUUAGAUAAAUAAUUGCUAUGAUAGCUUGGUGACUUCACUUGGAAGGCUUUAGAGUCAAGUCAAAAUUAAGUACAUGUCAUCCAAACGUUAAUUUAAUGGUCUUUUCGAUAUUUAAUUUUAAUUCCUUAUUUUAUUAAAAUUCAAAAAAAUUUUAAUACUUUAUUAUUUAAUUCUUGUUAUUUUUUAUAAUUAAUUAUGUUAUUUUGUUUAUUUGUUUCAUAUUGCUGUUAAUUAUGAAAUAUUUAUAUUGUGGACUUUGUUUUGUUUAAUAAUUGUUAUGUUCCUUUACACACGUACAUAUUGGCAUUCAUGCACAAGCUUUAUACUUGGACUCCUAAAUCUAUCUGUUUAGGAGGGAGUAGAAUAUCUAUACUUUGUGAGGUUAUAAUAUCUCUGGUUGGACUAGCGAAAUAUUUUCACUCAAGUUAAAUAUUCUUCAUCAGUAGCUUGUUGUAGGUGAGGAUCGGGGGUCUUACUAAUCUAGAGUGGACAACAGUAAUGAUCAAUUUGGGAAUUUUUUAGUCUUUGCUAAAUUCCAAACCCUAUAUAUAGUGAACCUUAAGAAACCAAUCUUAGAUAGAGUUGUACCAUUUUUGUAGAUUAUACUAUAAAUUAGAACACAUUAGGGAACCUUAGAUAUUCUUUGUUAGAGACUGUUAAUAAAAGUGAUAAAAUAGAAAAUUCUCUACACUUUCUUGUCUAUACUGCAUAAUUAAUUGUAAAUUUCUUGGUGUUUGUGUAAAGUUUCUUUUAAAAAUGCAAAAAUAUAAUAGUUUGCAUUAUAUUAUCAUUUUCAUAUUGCAUUUUCAAAGGUUGAAUUCUUCGAUCUUCCUAAGAAAUAAAAGGAAGAAAUUUUUCCUUCUCUCACAAAAAAAUAAAAAAUUUGUUAUUUCAUUUAUUUCGUUUUCUAAAAAAAGGAAUAGAUUUUUUUCUUUCAUCAAAAAAUGCAAAAAAAAUUUUGAAAAUAAAAAACUUUUAUUUUUUUUAUUUACAUAACUUUUUUUUAUUAUUCUUAUAAGUUUAAUCAACAUUGCCUUUGCUUGUUCAAUUUUAGUAUUUUCAAGGUUUGUUUCAAAAUAAUGCUACAUUGAAAAAGAAAAAAAAAGUAAAAAUAAAAAAUCUUGCUUGUGUAAUCCAAAAAAAGAGAGGUGUAAAGAAAGGCUUGUCUGUUAUUAGUCGAAUAAGGUAAAAAUAACAAAUAUAAGGUUUUAAGUUUGAAAUCCUUUAUUUUUAUUUCUUCUGCAUUUGUGAAUAAUGUGAUUUUCAUAUAUGUUGCAUUUGGUGUGAAUAUGUCUAAUCGUUAUACAUUUGCAACACCAUUGUUAAUAUUGUUGCAUUUCAUGUGCACCAUUAAUCUUGCAUAUAUGUUACCCAUCGUUGUAAAUAUUGUCACUUUUCAUGAACACUAUCAAUCAUGCAUACACAUAUUUUAUUGUUGUAAAACUUGUAGCAUUUUAGGUGUACCACCGAUCAAGUUAGCAUACAUGUUUGAUCUUUAUGAAUAUUGUUACAUUCAAUCCCGAUAAAGAAUGGUACAUCUAUGGCUAUUAAUGUAUGCUUUAAAGGGUAACUUUUUAAAACUUUUUUCUACAUAAAACAUAAAGAAAAUUUUGAAAGAUUAUCUUUUGUUUUGCUUUUCUUAUGCAUCUCAUGAUUUUUCAUGAUAUUUCCAUUUUUGAUGCAUCAAAUUUGAAAUUUGACACUAAUGAAAGAGACUUUUCUUGUUUAGUUUGGAUUUUGUAUAUAUUUAACAUUAUACUUUGGCAUUGCAUAAAUAAAUUUUUGAAAAAAGUAGUAUAACGAUUCUCUAUUUGUAAAAAGAUUAUUUGGAAUAAAAGCCCUACGUAGUUUAAUUUAUGGAUCAUAGGAAUAAGGCAAAUGACAUCAAAACAAAAAAUAUUUUUUGUGAGUUUCUGAAUAAUUAGUGAUGACUAUUGGAAAUGAAUCUACCUAGAAAUCAUUCAUUUCGUCAAAUGCUUUCUAAUUCAAAUCCCAAAUAAGUCUAAUAUUUUGAGGGGCAUAAGUUUGUGCUUCAUGAACCUAGUUCUCACGAUACCUAAAAGCCAAGCUUUAUUUUGGGCAAUGAACAAAAGAGACUAGUUUUGAAAAAUCAUUUUGAAUAUUGGAAAUCAAGCAUGAGACUCUUUCAAAUUUUUAAUUGGUAAUUUAGUAUGUGUCAAAAUUUUAUUGAAAUUAUUGAACUAUCCAAAUUCUUUUGAUGACCAUAAACAUGAUAAAUGCUUAAACUUUUCCCUUAAGUAGUUUUUGUCUCAUGUUUUAAAGUACAGUACCAAAAAGCAAAAUUUCUUGUUGCCUAAGACAGUUUAUCUCAUGCCAUGAUACCUUUUCCCUAAUACUUGCAUAAAUAUGCCAAAGUCUUUUUAUGCAUUUUGCAAUGAAAUUUAAGAGAUCUCAUGCAACAUGACUUUCAUCGUCAUAUGAACUCUUAUUUGAGUGAGUAAACAAGAUGAGGGUAACAAAAAGAAAAAACCAAAAACAAAAAAAAAAGAUGAAUGAAAAAUAAAAAAAUAAAAAAAGCUUUUUUUAUCCACUUCUUCAAUAACUUGCUCUUCAAUUUAAGUGGUCAUGUUUGGAAUGAUGAAUAAUCAUCCUUUUUUAUCUUCACAUAUAGAAGAUUAUCCAUUUGCUACCUAUUUAAACCAAUUAAAAUUUUCUUUUCAAAAUUGACCCUUGUGAAAGAUCAUCCUCAACGUUAGAAAACAAAAUAAAGACAUUUCAAAGAUUAUGGGCAUUACAGCCCAACUUCAAGGAAAAAUGCCUUUUAUUAAAAUCUUUUGACAUGUAUCUUAGAGAUGGAAUUUGAGGCAAAAAGUGAAUGAAUUAAGUUUCAAGUUAGAAUCUCAAGUGAAAAAAAAGAUGAAAUUCAAGAAAGUAGAAUACUGGGGUUGAUGUUGAAUGUUUUCAAAAAGAGAAAGCAAAGAACGAAAGAGACACAUAUCUUUUCAUUCAGAAGAAUGCUCUGUAAGAAAUUACACAAUCUUUGGCCUAAUUAGCCUUCAAUAACAUAUUUUGGGUCUAUUUAUCCAUUCUUUCAGAUCCCUUAACCUUAGCUUGCAUUAUAUACCUUGAAAAGUCUAUUUUGAUCAAUUGUGGACACUUAAAUUGAAGAGCUAUGUCUUUGAAAAUUUGUAUAUACCCGAUAUUGAUUGGAGAGAUUUUAUUAAGUCCCCCUUUGUUUAGAGCUAGAAUAAUUGUUCUUGAUGCCUCAGAAGAAUUCCAGAGUUUCCAAGGUUUUAUCUAAAAAAGAAAUUCAUGAUACAAAACCUUUUAAGAGAUCAAUACCCAUUAAAAACUUUACAUCUCCUAAAAAAGUGAAAAUCGAAAGCCAAAUCUAUUUCUUUUCCAAAUCUUUGUGAAAAUAAUGGUUGGUUUUGAUGCACAUUGAAGUAUCAUGUUAAAGAACUAAAAGAGUGCUAAGCCAUACUUGAUUUUCAAGAAAAGGAAUUUUGAAUCCAAUCGAAAUAAGGAAUGAGUAAUUCCUUUUUCACCGUAGCCUUUGUCAAGCCUUUCUUGAGAUAUACCCACCAGUGAAAAGAGUUGAAUUGUCAAUCACCUCAUCCAUGAGCAUUCCAAAUUAUAGUCACCAAUUUUUAAGGGACUCAAAAGUCAAUACACUUUAGAUAUUUGAUUGAUCUUGAAAAUUAGGUGGGGCAAUUUUAUGAUUAUUUUGGCAUUUUUUAUGUGAGGAAUAAAAUUUUAAAUGAUGAGAAUUUAAACAGAGAUUUUUUCUUAAAAAAUAAAAAGGAAACAAAACAAAAAAUUAAUGCAUUUUUUUAUGAUAGUCAAUUAUUUACAUUUGCAUUAUUGCAUCUACAUCGCAAUAAAGACAUUCACAUCUGCACCAUUUGCAUUUGCAUCAUGAAAAAGAUAUUUGCAUUUGCAUCAUUGCACCUGUAUUAUGAGAAAAAUAUUUGCAUUUGUAUCAUUGUAUCUGCAUCACAACAAAGACAUUCACAUUUUUACCAUUGCAUUUGUAGCAUGAAAAAGACAUUCGUAUUUGCAUUAUUGUAUCCGUAUCAUAACAAAACAUUCAUAUUUGCACCUUUGCAUCUACAUCAUGAGAAAGACAUUCGUAUGUGUAUCAUUAGAUAUGCAUUAUUGAAAAGUAUUUAUAGGAGCAUCUAUAUAAAAAGAACAUUGGCAUCUGCAUCAUUGUAUUCGCAUAUUUGUUAAGCAUUUUGUUAGGUACAUUUUAGAAAAGAAUUUUGAAUCAGUAAUAAUUUGUAUUGGUGUAGAGAUAUUCACAUUUUCACCAUUUAUUUUGAGAUUAGACAUUUACAUUUGCAAUUUUACAAACAUUGAGAAAAAAAUAAGAAAUAUCAAUAUUCUUUUGAGUUUUGAAAACAAUAAAAAAAAUCUAGGCUUAAGGUUUUAAUUGAAAAAAAAAAAACUUUUCUAAGAUAAAAUUUUGUUAGAGAUCAAAUGAGGCUUUAUCUCAAGGUAUUGUCAUUAAAGCUUCUAAGUACCAAUUUUGAAAACCUUCAAUGUCAUUUUCUAAAACCUUAGCACAUAAUUUCAAAGUCCUCUAGAUAUAAUUUCUAACUCCUCCAAACAUAAUUUUAAAGUCCUCCGGGCAUAAUUAUAAAGACUUCCACGCAUACUUGUAAAGACCUUCAAGUAUAAUUUUAAAGUCCUCCAGACAUAAUUACAAAGUCUUCUGAGCAUAAUUACAAAGUCCUUUAAGUAUAAUUUCAAAGGCCUUUGAACGUGAUUUAUAAGACCUCUGAAGAUGAUUUUAAAAAUUUAUGGGUACAAUUUUCAAAUUUUUUUUCAAAAGUACCAUAGCUUUUGGUUAGAGGAGUUUAUAAAAAAGUUUUGUAGUUUGGUUAGAAGAGUUUUUAAAAAGUUUCAUAGCAUUUAGUGAGAAGAGUUUUUAAAGUUUCAUUGCCUCUAGUUAAAAGCAUAGUAAAGUACCAUAGCCUUUAGUUAGAAGAGUUCGUAAAGUACCAUAACCUUUUAUGGUGAUAUCUAAGUAUUCAAGAUUGAAUUUCAUUAAAACUUUCUCAAUGGUGAUAUCUGAAUAUUCAAGAUUGAACAUUUAUUAAGACUUUCUCUAUGGUGAUAUCAGAUAAUCCUUUGGUGGUGAUAUUUAAGUCAUUUUACAUUUCCUCGAUGGCGAUAUUUGAAUCUCUAUAGAGGAAUGUUUCAAUUCUCACUACCUUUAGUUAGAGGAAUCCUUCAAAAUCAUCACCUUUGAUUAAAGGAAUCUUCAAAGUCUCAUUGCCUUUGGUCAGAGGAGUUUUCAAAUAUCGUAGCCUCUGGUUAGAGGAAUUUUUAAAAUUUAAGGGCCUCAAAUAUAUGACUCUUUCAAAACUAGGCAUGAUUUGUAUGAACAACAUGCAUAAUCUAUAAAACCUUUGAAUCUUUUAAAGUUUUAUAGCCUUUAGUUAGAGGAGUUUAUUCAAGUAUCCUAGCCUUUGGUUAGAGGAGUUUUUUUAAAGUAUCAUAACUUCUAGUUAGAGGAAUUUUUAAAAAUAUUAUAGCCUCUGGUUAAAGGAGUUUUUAAAAUUUAAAAACUUCUAGGUAGAUGACUUUCAAAAUUAUGCAUGAUUUGUACACCAAAGGGCAUGAUCUAUAAAACCUUUCAGAAUUUUAAUUUCAAGUAUCAUUACCUCUGGUGAGAGGAGUUCUCAAGUAUCGUAGCCUCUGGUUAGAAGAAUUAUUUAAAGUCUCAUUACUUCUUAUUGAAGGAGUUUUUAAAGUGUCAUAGACUCUGGUUAAAAAAGUUUUCAUAGUAUCAUAGCCUCUAGAUAGAUAAGCUUUUUAAAGUUUAAUUGCCUCUUGUUAGAUUUAGUAAAAUUUAAUAAAAGCAAUAAAACCCUCAAAAAAUAGUUAAGAAAAAUUAAAAGAGUUCUAUUUUUCCUUAAUUUUUACAAGUAAAGAAUAUUUCCUAAAUUUCACCUGAGAGUAGGGAUAAUUUAAGUAAUUAUUUUUGCUAAGAAUAUUUAAAAAACAAAAAAAAAAACAAAAGGGAGAUAUACGUGUUUGUGUCGUUAUUUUGAUUUUUUGAUAUGUUCAUCCACACAAAAUUGUUGUCUUUUAGUGUUUGCCCUAUUACUGAUUCUCAAUAAUGUGCAAAGAGGAGCUGCUAUAGACACCUAAUUUUUUUUGAAUUGAUCGAAAUAGAUUCGAAUCUCAUUCACCAUUUUGAUGUGUUCAAUUAAAACUUAUUCAGAUAUUUUGAUCAUGUUUAUUAGGACUAAUUAUUAUUAUUAUUAUUUAUUGAUUAAUCAUUUUAAAAAAAGGUUAAAAAAAGAAGAAAAGUCAAAAUUUUUUCAAACUCUAGUAGCUAAAAUCAAGCUGCUAGAAAUUUUUUUCCUUAAAAAUUGAUGCAUUACUUGUUCCAAAUUCUAGCCCUUUUUCUUGACUUUGCAAGAUGAGAUUUCAGCAGCAAAAAUCUAUGCUGAAUUAUUCUUCCAUAAUCCGUUCAAACCUGAGAUUUGUUGGACAAAUUGGCUCUCUAUAAACGGAGAGUCAAAUUCACAAAACAAAAGAUAAAAAGAAAACAACACAAAGAGAUAGAGAGAGAGAGAGAGAGAAAAAAAAAGAAAGAGAAAGAGAAAGAGAAAAACAUAAAAAUUGAAUUUAUGACAGAUGUGAGAAAUUUUACAAAAAAAAUCCUACUGCCAUUUUGCCCGAAACCUACUAGAAACUCAGUACACAAAAUAAUAAAAAAAAAAACUAACCAAAAAAAGCUAUCACAUCCCUUAAAGGAACAUCCAUAGUAAGUUAAAAAAAAAGUUAGUAAUAAAAAAAAUCAAGCCAAGAAUAAAAUUUUUGAUCUAGGCCUUUAGGAUUUUUCCUUGAAAAACUAGCUUGAGAAAAGUGUUUAGAAGAUCAAAUGGAGUAUUUUGGGAUUUUUUUGAAAUUUUUUGGGCUUGCUAAAAUCUAGAAUAGUUUGAAUUUUUUGCAAUCAUAUGAAUUUUUUGACUAUUGAAAUCUAAGAAAUCGAUUGAAAAUUAGGAAAACUUUGAGUUUUUGAUGCUAGCUGAAGUUCCCGAUGAUAGCACAGUGAUGACAAGGUGGUAGCCACACGAAAACUAAGUUUGGGCGAUUUCCAGUGAAGGGUUUCAAUUUUAGAGUGAUAGGCUUUUAGGGGAAAAGAGAGAGAAAGGAAAAAUUAAAAAAAAAAAGAUUUAGCCAUUUCUAUAAGAUGGCCAAAACGAUGUUGUUUUGUUUGUCAGACCCAUGCACGACCCGCCAAAGAUCCAUAUGUAGACCCACAUAAGACCCAAUCCAUUUGUAAGUUUUUUCUUUUUCCAUUUUCUUAUUUCAUUUUUAUUUUUUUAAGAUUUCUUUUAUUUAUUUUUAUAUUUGAAAAUUCUAAAAAAAUAAUAAUAAGAUAAAAUGAUUAUUAUAAGUAAUAAUAAAAUAUAAAAUCAAAACCAAUAGUAAUUUUUACUAAAAUUAUAAGAAAUGAAAAUUGAUUAAAUUAUAAAAGAAUUAAGGAAAAUGGAAAUAGUUUUAUUUUUCUUUAAUUUAUACAAGUAAAAGUAUCUCUUGAAUUUUGCUUUAGUGUUGGGAUUAUUCAAGAAAUUAUUUUUGUUAAAGAGUACAAAUUUAAAUAUAAUAAAUAAAAUAAAUAAUUGAUUAUUUGAAUAAAUCUUUUAAGAUGUAAUUUUCUUAAAGAAAAUUGAAAAAGUUUUGUUUUCUUUAAUUAUUAUAAGUAAAAAUAUUUUUAAAUUUCACCAAAGAGUUGAGAUGAUCUAAAAAUUAUUUUUACUUAAUAAAAGUUUAAUCAAUAAUAAAAAAUUAAAUGAGUACAAUGAUGAAAAAUGAUAAAAUAUAAUUAAUAACAAAAUAAUAAAAAAUUCAUUAAAUGUUUAAUUCAAUUAAAUAUCUUGAGUAAUUAUUUUAAGAAAACUUAGAAGUCUCUUAUUUUUCUUAAUUAUUAUUAAGAGAAAUGGUUUUUUAGAUUUUGCCAAAGCAUUGUGAUAGUUUUAAAAUCAUUUUUAUAAAAAUUAUUAUAAUUAAAAAAUAAUAAAUAAAAUAUUUUUCAUAAUUGUUUUAUAAUUGUGUAAAUCACAUAUGUGAUUCGUAAAUAAAAAAUAUCUUAUGACAAAAUUUCAGAAAUUCUAUAAAUGGUCAAUUUUUUCUAAUUUUUUAAUAAAAAUGUUUUCUAUAAAUUUCGACAAAAUAUUGAAGAAUUUAUAAAAUAUGAAAAUAACAAUAAUUUCUUAAUAAAAAUGUUUUUCAUAAAUAAAAUUUUAAGGAAUUAAUUUUAAAUAUCAAGAAGACCAUAUUAUCAAAAUAAAUAGAUAAUACAUGUUUAAUUGGUAUUAUUUUUUGAAAGGGUGAUGUGAGGGUACUUAUACUUUUGUUACUCAUUACUAUACUUUUUGAACGCAAUCCUGAUUUUGUAAAAAUCUUAAUUAAUUUUAAGGCUUUUUUUUUUAAAUGAUAUUUUAAGUGAUCAAUUAUUUUUAGUAAAAAAAUAUUGAUGAUAACUCUGUAAAUUUUUAUUAAAUCUAACGAUCGAGUCCCAUCAGAUAGAAAAUCAAUAUGACAAUAUAAAAUAUAAAAAUAAAUGAUUUUCAAGUAAAUUAAAAUAAAAAACAAAAAAGUCUAAGAAAAAAAAUGAAAUAUUGGGGUAUCAUGAUCAAUAAUCUAAUACAGUGGCUCACUGAAUCUUUUUCCUUUGUCCAAAAGAAGUCUUAAUCUAAAAAAAUGGUAAUUCAAAUAUAAUUUAUGAUCAAAUUCAGUCAAAUCAACAUUAGGCCUUACUAGUUAGUAAUUAACAACUUGUUAAUGAUUAGAGAAAUUAAAUGCUACAAAAAAAUCGCAGUUACUUAUUGUUUAUGAGUAGUAGCUGGUUAAUAAUAUAAAUUAAAAAGACAUAUGAAAUUUGGCUUAUUAAACCGUAAAGAAAAGGCCGCCUAUACCUACGGGUGAAGUCGGUCAAGAACAUGUUGAUAAAAUCAAAAGCUCAAAAUCAAAGAUUGAAAGGCGAUUUAUCUACUUACUAUUUGGCCAAAUAUAAGUCAACAAAUAUAAUCAUUUCCUAAUUCUUUCACGCUAAAUCUGCUCCAACAUUAAUGUCACGUGAUUUUUUCUAAAUAAGAAGAUUUAAUUAAUUAAAUUCUUGACUUCAAUUUCUCUUGAAAAUGUCUGUUUCAAUUUAGGACAGAUGUGACUAUAGAUACCAGAAGCUAGUUCUAAUUCUGGGAGGGAAGGAAGAGUAAUAUUACACCUUACCUCUUAUUGUAUAGCCUAAAAUUCAAAGAUUUUUUUUUUGUUAUUAUAAAAAAAUCCAAUGUAAUUCUUCUUACGUACCAAAAAGAAAAUAUUCCUUUUUAUAUUACACAUUAUAUUAUUAAUUUGCAUACAAACUUUAGGAGAAAAAUUCAAUAAAUACAUAUGAUCUACAACUAAUUACAAAGCAAAGGUAAUUAAUGAUACAUUUAUCUAAAUAGUCAUACAAAGAAUCAUGCCAAAAUGCCUAUAAAAAAAACCUAAAAAAUUCUUUAUUUUUUUGACACAUUUUCCAAUUAAAUAUUUUUAUAAAAGGUUUAACUUCCAAAGGUUAUUAUGAUUUUUUUUUUCAAUUAAUAGAAAAAAGGAGGAAUACUUUGCUCAUGCCUGAAGAAGUUUUGUGGAUCAACAUUGGUCUUCACACGAACUAAUCUGUCAAAGUUGUUCGUGAAAUACUUACGACCCCAUAUGCUUGCUUGAGCGAAACUUGUGUUUCCUUCAUUAUUCAUUCCGAUGUCAAGAUCCCUAUAAUUGAUAUAGGCUUGCCUUGGAGAUUUUGAAACAAAGGAACCCAUGUAACUAUAAAGUCUCCGAAUCCAGCUUAUAUACCUUUCAGAUAUUAUAUUCUCUUCUUCUUGCCAUCCUGCGUUGUAUACGAUUUUGUAUAAGUUGCCAGCUCUAUGUGGGAAUGGAGUAGCAGUCGAUGGAAUUUCAUCCAUUAUGCCUCCGUAAGCAAUAAAACUUAUACUAGCAGAUGCUCCUUCUUCUUCAAAAAGUCUUGACCACAUCCCCUGAAAUCCAAUUUCAGGAAUGGGUCUCCUUACAUAAUCAGAUUUUGAUUUGAAGGAAGGACUAAGAAGUGGACUUUGGUAUGUCCUGUCAAGUAAAAUAUUCAAGGUUUCAUUUGGAAGGUUGCCCAUGGAGAGAAUAGAUUCAAUCCAACUCAUUUCAAUGCAAUCUUCUCUCACUAGUCCCAGCUCAGGAAAUCUCUCUUGCAUCAAUGGAACCAGCUCAUCAAUCCCACCAAGAAACGAGGCAUGAAAGGAAGCUAGAAUUGUUCUUUUCCCAUCUUCACUAGAAUUCACCCUUGUUAGUGUAAUUCCGGAGUAAAAUUCUUCUGGAAGCUUGGGUGCAACGGAUUGCCAACGAUGAACAAGCUUGGUCGCAUUUUGUUCCAAGGUCUUGUUGAUUGUGAAUACAGUCACAAUUGAUGGAACCGAAACCAACUGUACUUUCCAUGCAACCACAAUUCCAAAGCUACCCCCACCACCUCCUCGAAUGGCCCAAAACAGAUCUUCUCCCAUGGAUUUCCUGUCAAGAACUCUCCCGUUAACAUCAACAAGUUGUGCAUCAAUUACAUUAUCUAUUGCAAGACCGUAUUUGCGGAAUAAUAAGCCGUAACCUCCUCCGCUCAAGUACCCUCCAAUUCCAACAGUGGGGCAAAGACCAGCUGGAAAGGCAAGAGUGUUGCUUUUAUUAGCAAUGUUGUAAUACAGUUCUCCUAGAACCGCACCUGAUUGAACCCAUGCAACUUUGUUUUCUACAUCAAUGUCAACUGAUCGUAGAUUAACCAUAUCAACGAUAACAAACGGCACUUCAGAUACAUAAGAAAGACCUUCAAAAUCAUGGCCACCGCUUCGAGUUCUAAUUUGGAGCCCAUGUUUUCUUGAACAAUAAAUUGUUGCUUGAAUAUGGGAAGCAUGGAGCGGUGUUACAAUGACCAAAGGUUUAGGGGUAGAUGGUGUAGUGAAUCUAAAAUUUCGAACGGUAGCGUUCAAAACAGAAGAAUAGGAAGAAUUAUUUUGUGUGAAGACAACUUUAGAAAUGGAAGAGGAGUCGUUGGAUUGAAGAGAAAGGCAAUCAAGAAAAGUCUCAUCAGCCUGAGCUGAAGCUGCCCAUAACAAUAAGAAGAGAGCAACAUAAAGAAAUGAUGAAGACAUUGAAAAGUGAAGAGAUUUCAUAUUUUUGAAACUGAUGAUUUCGAAACUGAUGGUUUUGUGCAGAGUUUGUGAAGAGCUCCCCUAUUUAUAGAUUUACAUAACCUGAGGGGAUGCUUGGAGCCGCAAAAAUGCAUUGGAAUUGAAUUUUCUUCAAACGCGGAAUGAGUUUGGAAAGGGGAUGGCAGUCAAUAUAACAUGUUGAUCUAUAUGUCGUCACUUCCUUGGGAAAAUCUUCACCAUAAGCAAUGAUGGCAUUGGGGGCAUUUGACGCACUCAAACUAAAAUUGCCUGACUUUUAUAACCUGAUCAAAUUGGUAAAUGAAAAGAGUUUUCCCAUUGGGUUUUACGUAGUGAAAGCAUGUGAAUAGAAUCGAAUUUAGUGACUCUUUUCUUAGCUUUCUCGAUCAUCACAUAUAAAUAACUUUAAAAAAAAAAUUUCUCUCUUUCAAAGAGGAUAGUAAUUUAUUGACCUUUGCCAUCCUGAAAAACCAAUUUAUUCCAAUAAGAUGACGAUUAGGCCUAAAUUGUCAUUGAAAAAUCUACAUUCUACGGGAUUCCGUAUGGCAUGGAAAGGGUAAAAGCUCCAUGGGAACACACCCAAAGCAUUCUCACACAAUAAAAUGAUGUUUUAUUUCAUGCCAUAGUUUCUUUUACUUCUUGCACAAUCUUACAAAUCGAAAUCAAUUUAAAAUUCUCAAACUUAAGAAUUUGACAAAUAUGAGAAAAGGUCAUAUAAUUGUUAAUCUCGGUAGUGAAGCAAUCAAUGUGGAAAAACCGAUUCACUCAUUCGGUUUAGGAUUAUUGUUACAAGCGAAGUUAAAAUGUUUGCUAUAUGUCCAUUUAUUUUUCAUUUAAUGUUGACUAUUUUUUGAAACAGUUGAAUUGAUAUUAAAAAUAAUAUUUAGUAGAUUGUAAGUUGAAACGUGUAAUAUUCACUUAAAUUGAAUAAGUAUAAGGGUACGGAAAUUCAAGGAUAAAUUAGAAAUUUCAAAAAAAAAUUUCCCAUUUAAUUUAUUUCUUUUUAUCUCAUAAAUAUUAUGAUUUCAUUUUAUUUUAAAUAUAUUAUUAAUUGAAACAUGAAAAAAAAAUCUAAACACUUUAAAUGAAAAGGUUUUCAAACAUACUUAUAUAUAUAUAUAUAUAUAUAUAUAUAACAAAAAAAAGUAGUUUAAUGUUUAAAAUAUAAAUUAUCAAAUUAAGUUGAAAAAGUUCAAGAGAGAAAGGUGAUUGGAAUAUUUUUAUCUUAUCGUGGAUAAGCCAAAGGAGAAAAUUCUCAUAAGACAGAGACAAAGUCCCCCGUAUUAAUAUUUUCAUGAGGAGGUGGGUUGUUCCCAUGAAAGUCCCAUUGCUUGGACGAUGUGCUUGCUAUUAUUUUCAACCAUUUCUACAUUUCUUGUUUUUAAGGUAAAAGUUUGAGCCUACAACAUAAAAUCUCCGACUUUCAUGUAGAUUUCCUUUUGUUUUACUAUAUAUUUUGGCAAAAAUAAAAUUCAACAAUUACUGGCGGUCUAGAUUGGACAUAAUUCCGGGAACAAAAAUUAACUACGAGUACUUGUUAAUAUUGAAAAAUAUUUUUUGUUCUACAAGAAAAAAGAAAGUAAAAAUAUUAGUAAAAUUAAAAAUAAAAUGAAUUUUUUUUUUUCAAAAAAAAUUUUAAGAUUAUAUUUUUUUAACAUUAAUAUAUAUGUGACAGUAAAAUACUAAAACUAUGUUCACAAAUCUUUUAUAUCAUUAUUAAUAAUUUAUAUGUACUUAAUUUUGGAACCAAUGCACAAAAUCCUUCUCUUUUAAAAAUAAAUUUACUAUUGUGAACCAAAUUUGAAAUUUUCAUGUAUAAGACAAAACAUAAAUACGUAAAUAAAUAAUAAGUAAAAAAAAAGGGAGUUAAAAAAGAUAAAUUUUGACAUAUUGAGUUGAAAACCGCGUAUGGAUGUAGCUGGGAAUAAAUAUAACUUGAAGAUAAACCUUUUUUGUUUUGGCCAAAGAAAGACCUGAAGAUAGGCUUUAAUAAAAGUCUUAAUCUGAAAAUUCUAAAUGUGACUUUCUACUUGCUAUUUGAGGAAAUUAAUUUCACAUAUUACAAUUAUGUCCCUAUUCUUUCAGGCAAUUUCUGCUCUGUCUGGUGCAACAUUAUUUUCAUUUGACUUUAUUAAAUUCUUGACUUCAAUUAUUCUUGAAAAUGGUUGUAUUUUUAAAUUAAUUAAAACCAUAUCAUAUCAGGCAUGACUUAGUCUAUUGCAUGAGAAAGGUUUGAUUUUGACUAAAAAAACCUCUGGAUAAAUUUAAAGCAAACUCCUGUGGAAUGCCUUCAUUGACUUUUGUUCAUUUUUUUUCCUUUGAAGAAUAUGUAGAUGAAUAUCCAAAGACAGUGAACCAACUCCUUAAAUUACGUUCGAAAACUGGAAACUGAUCUUAGAUAUGAAGGAAAACCUGUAUCCCUCAAAUUUCUUUUUCUUUUCGGAUUUGUUUUAUUCCAUUUCUUCACCACGAAAACUCAAAUCAUUAGGAAAAAUCAAAACUGAAAAUACACAAAAGUUAUUUUAUUUUUAGAGGAAAUUUUCAUUUCCGACAUAAAAAUUUUAAUUUCUUCAAAUUUGUAACAAAAAAUUAUAUCAGUAAUAUUUCGAAAAAAAAGAAAAUUUUGACAAAAAUUUACCUUUUUAAAAAUAAUUUCUCAUCUCUAAAAGCUCGAUCUCUUCUAGUUUAAACAAAUAAAUUACGCUCUUAUUUAUUAGCUUUUUUUAAAUUAUAAUCACAAAUAGGGAUGACAACAUAUCACUAUUGGGAUGACAUUGUGUCACUAUUGGGGUGGGUAUGAAACUUUUCAUCGCCAUAUUUGAUUACGUUACUCCUAUUCAUUUCUAUUUCGAUAUUCACCAAAUAAUACCUUCGUGUAUUUGUCUUCAUACCCCAUUAGUAACGAGUAACCCAAAUUUCCCUCGAAUCAUCGAUUAUGGGAAGUUUGAUAUGUGCCAUUCAAAUUUUGCAAGUUAAAAUAAAAUAAUAAAAUUCAUGAAAAAAACUCAUGACAAAGUCCAACCAUAUGGAAAAAUAAAAAGUAAAAAGUAAAAAUAUUAAAAUAAUAAUACACCUAAAGCCUAACCUUAUUGAAAUUUUAAUAAAUUUAUUCGAAAACUCAUAUCUAUAAAAAUAAAUAUAUAAAUAAAAACAUAAUUUUUUUUUUGAAAUACUCUAAAAACCGCCCAUAAACAUAAAUAUAAAAUUCAUAAAAAAAUCACAUAUAACGAAACCAACUACAUCAUCCCACGUAAGGGAAGCAACACAAAGGGCAUUAGAUUUUUAUCUUUUGUAGGGUUUAGGGAUUUCUAGGACGAGUUUCGAACAGUCAAAGCAUAGGGAAAAGGUAAAGGAAUUUGAUGGUCAUAGGCAAUAGUGGCAACUUUUAGGUUUCGAUUUAAAAUGAUUUUUCGUGAAAAAAUGGAGAGUUUUUUUUUUUUUUCUUUUUAAAUAAAAUCAAAGGCAAUAAGAUUAUAAAAAAGGCUGAAAGGAGAAUUUGGAUAAAUUUUCGAUUUUGAGUUUUGAUCUAAGCUAUUUGAUAAAUUUUUUGAGAAAUCCAAUUUGAUAAGAAAAAGAUCAAGAGAAGAAAAAUGAAUUUUUUCUGGUGAAAAUGACAUUGACAAGUGGCGGUCGACAACGAAACAUAGUGGCUGAUAGUUAGAGUCAAGAGAGAAGAGGAUGCCGAAAAAGGAGUUAGAAAGGAGGGACAAGUAUAGAGAGCCAAGGAGAUGAAAGAAAAUGAGGUGAUUUUAUUUUUAGUUUUUAUACUUUGCCUAAACACCUAAACAAUCAGCUUAGGAUCACCAAAUGCAUUAUAAUUGAUAUUGGUCGUGUAUCGGGUUAGGCAACUUACGGAGCGGGACAAAUGACUCGUGGGGUGGGAUGUCAAGGCAAAAUAAAAGAAAACAUAAAUACUAGAUUGGAUAUAGCACUCCUUUGUAGAUGAAAGGAAUUAGAAUUGGUCGAAAUUAAUAGGAGAACAUUCAAGCCCAAAGUAUCGUACACUUUAAGCAAGGAGGCUCGAAAGGCAGUGUGUGCUUAGGUGAAAUAAUUAAGAUUUCUAGCUGGGUUUGCGUCAAACAUAGCUUAGUGUUCUAACAUUGAUGAAGGCAAGUUUCAUGUGAUGAAAAGUUAUGAUUAUCCUAUUUUUAUGCAAUGGCUGUUUCCAAUUGUCUUUCAUGGCUUGUUGCCUAUUUCAAUUUGAAAUGCAAUAAUCAAGCUAUCUUAUUUCUUUAAACAUAUUUGCUAAACUAAAUUACAUGUACAUCAUAUGAAGAUAAAGAGGAAAAUGAAGAUUAUUAACAUGAAAUUAUUGAUUAUGAAUAGUGGUUAAUUUAUGUGUAUUUAACUUUACUACUUGUCACUUUGCUUGAGAUAUAAUACAAUAUGUUAUAUUUUUGUUUUUAGAUAUCAAUGUAUUCAUAUAUUCUUGAUAUAUGUUGCUGAAUUAUGUUGUUCCUGCUUAAAUAUGUUGUUGACUAUAUUGGUAUAUUUAUAGUUAUAAUGCUUAAACGAAAGGCUUCUAACAAAUCCAAAGUUAGAUAUGGAUUUACAUCUAUAUAGAGGGCAUUAUUCCCAAAUCUUAAUCAUCUAACACUCCAUCAGUACACCUUCGAUUUAAAAAAUACCAAGUGGUCGAGCCUCCACCCAUAAACCAUCCAGCAACAAAGAACAUAUACUCUGAGUCUUCUACCAUCGAGACUCCACCUACAUAUCACUCUAUACAAAAUAUCCCAACUGUCGAUCAGCAAUUCUCCAACCUUGUUGAUGGUGUUCAAGCCACUUUAUGUGAGUCGACCCUGCGAAAACAUACAAGACGACCUAAUGAAUGUUUACCCACACCUCUAAAUAUAGCAGACAAAGUGCCAAUUAUUUGUUUGCAAAACAAGUUAGGUGUUAAUAAAUUGUUUACUUUAUUUAUUUAUUCAUUUGAAUAGCAAUAUUAUUAACAUUAAGUUGAUAACUAUUUUAUUAAUAACUUAUAUACAGUACUUUUUGAAACCCACAAUCGUCUGAACGAUAAAGAAAUUGAUUAAAGAUUACUACAAUAAGGCAUGGCUGAUAUGAAGGAAAGUUUCCUUGAAUGUGAAGAUGAGCAUGUGAGAUAAAUUCCAAGUAUUUUUUACUAUUUUAAUACUUUCAUUUAAAUAUGUUAUUAACAAUUUUUAUUUACUUUUAGGAAAAUGCAUACAGUCUCCAAAAUAUACACAGCUAGUUUAUGACAUAUGGCAAGCAACAUGUAAAACACUGUUUAAAGAGAAUCUAAAAGGAAAAAGGUAAUUCAAUCCAUGAGUAGUUCUGAAGUUCGGGAUGAGCUUGGUGAAAAAGAGUGGAGUAAAUAAGCAUGAUAACAUCGGUCUGAUAAAGCAAGAAAGUAUCGACUAACAAAGAAAAAAGGCAGUAUCAUAAAGCACAUAGGUGGUUCAGCACAUUUUUCAGGUUUAUGCGCACAAAUUGAUAAUACCUUUUAAAUUGUUAUAUUUUAUAAUGUUUAAUUCUAUGAUUUUUUUUUUAUUAUUUAUAAACUGUGACUUGUAUUUUUAACCAUAGGCAUAGGAGCUUUAAUGAUCGCUUGUUUUUUUAACCAAACGUAGGCAUAGGAGCUUUAAUGAUCGCUUACAUAUAAGGAACUUUAUGAUCAUUCCCACACACGUUUAGCAGGACACACUGAUUUUAUGGACAACGAGUCCAAAGCUGUUAGUGUAACAGAAAAUUGCUUUAUGUAUGCUUCAUUUUAAUAUUUUCAUCAUUACUACAAUUUUCUUAUUAUGCUUUAUUUUAAGUAAUGUGAAUCAUGCAUUUGUAGGAAAACUAUGCUUCUUCCAUGAAUUAGAAGUAUGGUGAGGACACAACUGCUCAUCCCAAGUUCAGUCCACAGGCCCAGUGCAAAGUAAUUGGAGGGUUGAAAACCACCCGCACCCAUGUCUAUGAAUUUGGACAAGGCCAUGUUCAACGAAAUUAUUUGGCACACCCUCAUCCUCAUAUGGUAGCUCAUCUCACUAAGCUUGUGAGCUUACAAACUUCAUUUCCAAUGUUAGUUCAUUUGUCGAAGUUGAUGAUCUAAAAGGGAAGAUGAUAGAUAUGUAAGACCAACUCAAGGAAAUGAAUCGGUUACAACAUGAAAUAAAUAUGGUUUUGCUUAGUUAAAUGUCCAAAGGUGGUUCGUUUCCUACAUCUGGAUAUUCUUGACACAGUGGCGAAGGACAGCAAGAACCAGAAGGAAGUGCUCAGUGAGAGAUUGAUUCUUUCAUUAUUUGUUUUCUAUUGCAUGCAUAUGAUGAUGAAGUAAGGAUGAAUCUUUUUCUUUAUGGACAUUUGUGUUAUGUUUAAGAAUGAUUAUGUUUGUUUAUGAUUGAUUAUGGAUGUUUGUGAAUGUUUACAAAUCUAUUACAUAGAAAUGACGUGAAUGUUUAAUUGUGUGGUAUUAAAUAGUUGUAUUAUGAUUUAUAUAAAUAAUUUUUAUAUGAUUUGUAAUUAGGAAAAAGGAUUAAUUGUGAAAAAGAUCUAUCCUUUUGAGGGAUGAUCGAUCUUCUAUGAAUAGAGAUCAAUCUUCAGUCAUAAGGGACCUAUCCAUGAAAUUCCAAAGGCAAAUUAUUUAGGUAUAAUUAGACACGGAAUAGUGUGUAUAAGCAAUGGAAAUUUCAUUGCCAAUAAAUUUUAGCGACAAAAAACCCAAUGAAAUCAAUCUUCAUUCAUUGAAAAUGAAUCCUAGAAAAUACCUUUUAGUGAUGGAAAUUUUCAUCACCAAUAAGUUUUUAAAACAGAGGAUCAAAUCUUGAAAACCUAGAAAAAACCUUUUAGUGAUGGAAAUUUUCAUCGCCAAGAAGUUUUAACAACAGAGGAUCAAUCUUGAAAACCCAGAAAAUACAUUUUAGCGACGGAAAUUUCAUCAGUAAAGAUCUCUAGUGAUGGAAUUAUAAAACCAUUACCAACAACAAAUUUUGUCGCUAAUAGUUAAAGCAAUGGAAUCACAAAUUUUUUAAAAGAUUUAGGAAAAAUAAAUUUUAGUGACGAAAUAUUCUGUCACUAAAAGUUUUUUGAUAGAAUUAUAAAUUUUAUUUUUGCAAAACAAAUAAAACCAUAAUUAUUUUUUGCAACUAUUAGCAAAAGAAAAACAAUCUUUGAUAGUUCAGUUAUUUUUAUGGAAAAAGUAUUGGCAAUGGAAGACUGUCACGGACUUUACACUUUCUGAUGAACUAUUAUAGACAAAAAUUCCGUUGCCAAAACGUUUUACGAGUUAAAAAUAGACUAAUAGUGACGAAAAUUUUUGUUGCCAAUACUCUUAUUUCUUUUAAUAAAAUAAAUAGGUUAUCCAUACUCGUACUUGUAAUUAUGGUAAGAUUAAAAAUAAUUGUAACAAUAGGAUUAGUUACUACAACGAUGAUAUUGAGUACUGUAGCGUUAAAUUAAAAUUAGUGAUAAAAUAUGGGUUUAGAUGCAAAAGCAGUGGUGAGAGUAAAAUAAAUAAUAUUAAAAAAAAUGACUAUUAAAAAUAUUAAGUUAAAGUUUGUGUAUAAUGAAAAUUUUAAAUUAUUUGUCAUUUAUGAAGUUAAUAAAAAAUUAAACAUUACAAUAUUAUUUUUAUAUUAAAUAAUAUUUUUGUUAAAAAAUUGAUAAUAAUAUAUUUACACGAAUUAAAACUUAACAAAUUUAUUUUUCGUAUUUAUUUAAUAAAUUAAAACUAAACAUAUAAAAAAUAAAAAUAAAUAAUUUUAAAGUAACUAAAAAAAUUUAAGAAAAAAAUGAAAAUUUUGGGUAUUAUGAUCAAUAAAUCUAGUAUAGUAGCUCAUUGAACCUUUUUCCUAUGUCCAAAUGAAGUCUUAAUAUAAAUUAAAAAAAAGGGUAAUUCAAAUAUAAUUUAUGAUCAAACACAGUCAAAGCAACAUUAGGCCUUACUAGUCAGUAAUUAACAACUUUUUAAUGAGUAGAAAAAUUAAAUGCUACAAAAAAAAUCACAUUUAUUUAUUGUUUAUUAGUAUUAUUUAAUAAUAUAAAGUAAAAAGAUAAAAUUUAACUUAUUAAACCAAAAAGGAAAGCCCGCCUAUAGCAAUGGGUGAAGUCGUUCAAGAAAAUGUUGAUAAAAUCAAAACUUAAAAAUUAGACAUUCAAAGGCGAUUUAUCAGCUGACUAUUUGGCCAAAUAUAAGUCAACAUAUAUAAUUAUUUCCUAAUUCUUUCACACUAAAUCUACUCCAAUAUUAAUGUAGGGUGAUUAUCUCUAAAACAAGAAAUUUUAAUUAAUUAAAUUCUUGACUUCAAUUCCUCUUGAAAAUGUCUGUUUCAAGUUAGAAAAAUAUCAAUAUAGAAACCAGAAGUUUUAAUUGUGGGAUAGGAGGGGUGGGGUUCAUAAGAUGGAAGAGUAAUAUUAUAACUUGCCUAUUAUUGUGUAGCCUAAAAUUCAAUGAAUUUUUUUUUAUCAUAAAAAAUCCUAUGAAAUCUUACGUACGUACCAAAAGAAGAACAUUUAUUUUUAUGUUACACAUUAUAUUAUUAAUUUUCAUACAAAUUUGAGGAGACAAAUUCAAUAAAUAUAUAUGAUCUACAACUAAUUAGAAAGCAAAGGUAAUUAGUACAUUUAUUUAAAUAAUCAUACAACAAAUCAGGCCCAAAUGCUUACAAAAGAAUUCUUUAUUUUGUUUACACAAUUUCCAAUCAAAUAUUUCUAUAAAAGGUUUAACGCCCAAAGGUUAUUUUGAUUUUUUUUAGUUAGUGAAAAAAAGGAGGAAUACUUUGCUCAUGCCUGAAGAAAUUCUGUGGAUCAACAUCGGCCUUCACACGAACUAACCUGCCAAAGUUGUUCAAGAAAUACUUACGACCCCAUACGCUAGCCUGAGCGAAACUUGUGUUUCCUUCAUUAUUCAUUCCGAUGUCAAGAUCCCUAUAAUUGAUAUAGGCUUGCCUUGGAGAUUUUGAAACAAAGGAACCCAUGUAACUAUAAAGUCUCCGAAUCCAGCUUAUAUACCUUUCAGAUAUUAUAUUCUCUUCUUCUUGCCAUCCUGCGUUGUAUACGAUUUUGUAUAAGUUGCCAACUCUAUGUGGGAAUGGAGUAGCAGUCGAUGGAAUUUCAUCCAUUAUGCCUCCGUAAGCAAUAAAACUUAUACUAGCGGAUGCUCCUUCUUCUUCAAAAAGUCUUGACCACAUCCCCUGAAAUCCAAUUUCAGGAAUGGGUUUCUUCACAUAAUCAGAUUUUGAUUUGAAGGAAGGACUAAGAAGAGGACUUUGGUAUGUCCUAUCAAGCAAAAUAUUCAAGGUUUCGUUUGGAAGGUUGCCCAUGUAGAGAAUAGAUUCAAUCCAACUCAUUUCAACGCAGUCUUCCCUCACUAGUCCCAGCUCAGGAAAUCUCUCUUGCAUCAAUGGAACCAGCUCAUCAAUCCCACCAAGAAACGAG
RNAcentral lists this long non-coding RNA (29795 nucleotides) under Durio zibethinus. Its description in RNAcentral is "long non-coding RNA (DZIB_LNC001944)". Lineage: Eukaryota; Viridiplantae; Streptophyta; Magnoliopsida; Malvales; Malvaceae. The record is from RNAcentral.